This 492-nucleotide ribosomal RNA is filed under the name uncultured bacterium. Its description in RNAcentral is "partial 16S ribosomal RNA". It matches the Rfam family "Bacterial small subunit ribosomal RNA", at positions 29 to 507 of the family's 1533-position model. The record is from RNAcentral.
AGUGAACGCUGGCGGUAGGCCUAACACAUGCAAGUCGAACGGCAGCACAGUAAGAGCUUGCUCUUACGGGUGGCGAGUGGCGGACGGGUGAGGAAUACAUCGGAAUCUACUUUUUCGUGGGGGAUAACGUAGGGAAACUUACGCUAAUACCGCAUACGACCUACGGGUGAAAGCAGGGGAUCUUCGGACCUUGCGCGAUUGAAUGAGCCGAUGUCGGAUUAGCUAGUUGGCGGGGUAAAGGCCCACCAAGGCGACGAUCCGUAGCUGGUCUGAGAGGAUGAUUAGCCACACUGGAACAGAGACACGGUCCAGACUCCUACGGGAGGCAGCAGUGGGGAAUAUUGGACAAUGGGCGCAAGCCUGAUCCAGCCAUACCGCGUGGGUGAAGAAGGCCUUCGGGUUGUAAAGCCCUUUUGUUGGGAAAGAAAAGCAGCAGGUUAAUACCCCGCUGUUCUGACGGUACCCAAAGAAUAAGCACCGGCUAACUUCGUG